UGCCAGCCGCCGCGGUAACACGGGGGGCGCAAGCGUUAUUCGGAAUUAUUGAGCGUAAAGCGCGCGUAGGUGGCGUGGUAAGCGAGGAAUGAAAUCCCAUGGCUCACCCAUGGAACUGUUUCUCGAACUGCCAUGCUUGAGGACGGGAGGGGAAGGUGGAAUUCCUGGUGUAGCGGUGAAAUGCGUAGAUAUCAGGAGGAACACCGGUGGCGAAAGCGACCUUCUGGCCCGUUCCUGACACUGAGGCGCGAAAGCUAGGGGAGCAAACAGGAUUAGAUA
Molecule: ribosomal RNA, 279 nt
Filed under: uncultured bacterium
Lineage: Bacteria
Description: partial 16S ribosomal RNA
Rfam family: Bacterial small subunit ribosomal RNA
Source: RNAcentral